CCGUACGUUUCUUUUGCUUCGCAGUACCGGGGAAAGAACCGCGCCCAACCCCACCAGCCUCCCCGUGGAGGCGCCCUCACUCACACGGGUGAACAAGUCCAACUCAGCUGGAUUUGGGAGCGGUUGCGGGGCAUAUGCUCGCCCCGACAACCCCCAAAAAUGAGACGGCCCCCGUCGGGACGGCAAUCCCGGGCGAGGGCCUGACCAACAAGGAAGUCGCCACUUCCCC
This 229-nucleotide non-coding RNA is filed under the name Streptomyces lavendulae subsp. lavendulae. Its description in RNAcentral is "Streptomyces sRNA 4677". It matches the Rfam family "Streptomyces sRNA 4677". Rfam says of the family: Located in the intergenic region between anti-sigma factor SCO4677 gene and a putative regulatory protein gene SCO4676. scr4677 expression requires the SCO4677 activity and scr4677 sRNA itself seem to affect the levels of the SCO4676-associated transcripts. Lineage: Bacteria; Bacillati; Actinomycetota; Actinomycetes; Kitasatosporales; Streptomycetaceae. The record is from Rfam by way of RNAcentral.